GGGGCCAUGGAUUAGUGGAACGGCAAGGUUUUCGCUUGUUGCACUUUAGAUCGUUCGCUUGGCAUGCGAAAGGCCGCGGGUUCAAUUCCCGCUGGCUCCA
Molecule: transfer RNA, 100 nt
Filed under: marine sediment metagenome
Description: tRNA-Asn
Rfam family: tRNA
About the family: Transfer RNA (tRNA) molecules are approximately 80 nucleotides in length.
Source: RNAcentral